AAGAACUUAAAUAUAUUGUUAGUUGUAUUUUUUGCCCUGGUGGCAAUGGUAUCAGCCCCCUAUCCUCUAAGGCAGUGGACGCCUCCAAGGAUGCCUCCACCACGCCCCCCACCCAUGGUACAUGUACAUAUUGGAGCUCGUGAUAAAUGGUGCCGACUUAAUCUGGGGCCUUUGUGGGGUGGACGAUGCUAGGAAAAAAACCGACGCACCCUCACAUUUGUAGACUUUAAUGAAAUGAUUAGCCGAAAAAUCAUUGAUAUUUUGAUUGGUUAUUACAAAAAAAAGAAUUAAGAAA
Molecule: small RNA, 295 nt
Filed under: Drosophila ananassae
Lineage: Eukaryota; Metazoa; Arthropoda; Insecta; Diptera; Drosophilidae
Description: GF26537
Source: RNAcentral